RNAcentral lists this ribosomal RNA (467 nucleotides) under uncultured bacterium. RNAcentral's name for it is "partial 16S ribosomal RNA". It matches the Rfam family "Bacterial small subunit ribosomal RNA", at positions 28 to 507 of the family's 1533-position model. The record is from RNAcentral.
GACGAACGCUGGCGGCGUGCUUAACACAUGCAAGUCGAACGGAAAGGCCCUGCUUUUGUGGGGUGCUCGAGUGGCGAACGGGUGAGUAACACGUGAGUAACCUGCCCUUGACUUUGGGAUAACUUCAGGAAACUGGGCUAAUACCGGAUAGGAGCUCCUGCUGCAUGGUGGGGGUUGGAAAGUUUCGGCGGUUGGGGAUGGACUCGCGGCUUAUCAGCUUGUUGGUGGGGUAGUGGCUUACCAAGGCUUUGACGGGUAGCCGACCUGAGAGGGUGACCGGCCACAUUGGGACUGAGAUACGGCCCAGACUCCUACGGGAGGCAGCAGUGGGGAAUAUUGCACAAUGGGCGGAAGCCUGAUGCAGCAACGCCGCGUGCGGGAUGACGGCCUUCGGGUUGUAAACCGCUUUCGCCUGUGACGAAGCGUGAGUGACGGUAAUGGGUAAAGAAGCACCGGCUAACUACGUG